CAUAGAAACUGCUCCAUACUUGAUACCUAUUAUCGUUACAACCAUCUUUAAUAUCAGGUUCUUGUAAAUAACAAUGGAAUUGGUUGGCUGUACUGUUUCAGAGUUUUGAAGGUAUGCCCUCCUGCUGUAUCUCAAUAAAUUACAAUUGUUCCACGGGAUAAAAAAGCUUCACAUCAAGAGGGACUUUGGGGUAGUAGUACCCCCUGGAGAUACAAUAAAUGCUGCUUGGGGAUGAAAUGAUGAGGCAUAGAUCCUAGUUUUCUAAGAAUCCUCCAAAAGAGUACUAUGGUCUUUGCACACAUGUCCUCUCAGCCCAGAACGCUCUGCCCCGACUCUCUGCGUCGUUGGUAUGCGUCCUUCAGGCUCCAGUUGAAAUGCAUGGCCUUGGAGAGCCCUUCCCUGCCUAUCUGAUCUCGAGAAAGAUUUUCCUUCCUUUCUUAUAUUCUUUCUUCCAGCAGUCUCUUCCGAUCAUUCAUAGCACUUAUCACCAUUUAUAAUAAUAUACAAUGUGUUAAAUCCUUUGCACUCAGUUAAUGAAUAUUUGGAAAGUGAUUAGAAUAGCAUCAGGUGCAUUGUGCUACGUAAGUGUUGAUUUAAACAGCAACUCACAUACUCUUCACAACAACUCUAUGUGGUAGUGCUAUUAAUACCCCCAUUUUACAGAUGAACAAACUAAGGAACAGAGAAGUUAAGCAACUUCUCUAAGAUAGCACAGUAGUGAGCAGCAGAGCCUAACUACAAACUCAGUCUGGCACCGAAGUCCAUAACCUAACUGUUCUCUAUAUUUCCUUUUGAUUCCAGGACCUGCAUGGUACUGUGUGCCUAACAGGUACAUUCAAUACAUAUUUGUUUAAUAAAUGAAGGAACAGUUCUAACGGGAAAAUAAAAGUUACCUGUAAUCCUACCACAUGUUUUGAGAUUCAUUCUAUAGAUAUUUCUUCUAAUAUGAAAAUAGACUUUUAAUCAAAAUCUUAACUUUUUGAAAUCAUUUUGAGGAGCAUAGAUUAGGUAUCAAUGUGCAAUAUAUUUAACCUUGUAUUCAUUAUUUUAAAAAAUUAUAAUUACAAGUCAAUGUUCUUCCUUUAGGCAGGGGGAGGAGGGCGGAGGAGAGAAGCAUAAGUCUUUGGUUAAGGGAGGAAGGGUUUUCCUAAAAUAUUCUGGCCCUUCUUAUCUCCAGGAGGAGGUUGCAAAACUUAAGUUUGAAAGUUUAGGGAAGGGCAGAGACGUUUCAGGGACAAGAUUAAAAACA
This 1249-nucleotide long non-coding RNA is filed under the name Homo sapiens (human). Its description in RNAcentral is "HSALNT0294525". Lineage: Eukaryota; Metazoa; Chordata; Mammalia; Primates; Hominidae. The record is from RNAcentral.